GAUGAACGCUGGCGGCGUGCCUAAUACAUGCCAGUCGAGCGAACAGACGAGGAGCUUGCUCCUCUGACGUUAGCGGCGGACGGGUGAGUAACACGUGGAUAACCUACCUAUAAGACUGGGAUAACUUCGGGAAACCGGAGCUAAUACCGGAUAAUAUAUUGAACCGCAUGGUUCAAUAGUGAAAGACGGUUUUGCUGUCACUUAUAGAUGGAUCCGCGCCGCAUUUGCUAGUUGGUAAGGUAACGGCUUACCAAGGCAACGAUGCGUAGCCGACCUGAGAGGGUGAUCGGCCACACUGGAACUGAGACACGGUCCAGACUCCUACGGGAGGCAGCAGUAGGGAAUCUUCCGCAAUGGGCGAAAGCCUGACGGAGCAACGCCGCGUGAGUGAUGAAGGUCUUCGGAUCGUAAAACUCUGUUAUUAGGGAAGAACAAAUGUGUAAGUAACUAUGCACGUCUUGACGGUACCUAAUCAGAAAGCCACGGCUAACUACGUG
This 497-nucleotide ribosomal RNA is filed under the name uncultured bacterium. Its description in RNAcentral is "partial 16S ribosomal RNA". It matches the Rfam family "Bacterial small subunit ribosomal RNA", at positions 28 to 507 of the family's 1533-position model. The record is from RNAcentral.